AGCCACAGCAGUGAAGAACUCCUACAGGC
RNAcentral lists this non-coding RNA (29 nucleotides) under Rattus norvegicus (Norway rat). The record is from RNAcentral. Lineage: Eukaryota; Metazoa; Chordata; Mammalia; Rodentia; Muridae.